This 227-nucleotide ribosomal RNA is filed under the name Clostridioides difficile. Its description in RNAcentral is "partial 16S ribosomal RNA". It matches the Rfam family "Bacterial small subunit ribosomal RNA", at positions 296 to 540 of the family's 1533-position model. The record is from RNAcentral. Lineage: Bacteria; Bacillati; Bacillota; Clostridia; Peptostreptococcales; Peptostreptococcaceae.
GAGGGUGAUCGGCCACAUUGGAACUGAGACACGGUCCAAACUCCUACGGGAGGCAGCAGUGGGGAAUAUUGCACAAUGGGCGAAAGCCUGAUGCAGCAACGCCGCGCGAGUGAUGAAGGCCUUCGGGUCGUAAAACUCUGUCCUCAAGGAAGAUAAUGACGGUACUUGAGGAGGAAGCCCCGGCUAACUACGUGCCAGCAGCCGCGGUAAUACGUAGGGGGCUAGCG